AGUAANCGUAGUUCAGUGGUAGAACACCACCUUGCCAAGGUGGGGGUCGCGGGUUCGAAUCCCGUCGUUCGCUU
RNAcentral lists this transfer RNA (74 nucleotides) under Streptococcus pneumoniae. Its description in RNAcentral is "tRNA-Gly(gcc)". It matches the Rfam family "tRNA". Rfam says of the family: Transfer RNA (tRNA) molecules are approximately 80 nucleotides in length. Lineage: Bacteria; Bacillati; Bacillota; Bacilli; Lactobacillales; Streptococcaceae. The record is from RNAcentral.